GGGUCUCCCUCUGUUGUCCAAGGCUGGAGUGUAGUAGUGCUAUCGCAGCUGACUGCAGCCUCAACCUUCCAGGCUGAAGCGAUCCUCCCACCUCAACCUCCCACGUGGCUGAGACUACAGGUGCUUGCCACUAUGCCCAACUAACAUUUGGAAUUUUCGUAUACGUGGAUUCCAGAGGGGUGACAGCGAAACGUGGGACCAUCCAGUUGCAGGAAAACAAGCUUAACACGCCCACUAAUUCUACAUUAUGCUCCUACCUCCCGGCAGCCUCUCCAGGCCCAGAACUUUCUCCAGUCAGCCUCUACAGACCAAGCUCAUGACUCACAAUGGCCUAUUUAGGCCCAUACCCUACGUCACGGCAGCCUCCGCAGAUGAGGCUACUGCCUCACAACAGCCUCCACAGGCACAGCUCCAUCGUUACAAUGGCCUCUUUAGACCCAGCUCCUGCCUCCCAGCCUUCUCUCCAGGCCCUGAACUUUCUCAAGUCGACCUCACCAGGCCCAGCUCAUGCUUCUUUGCAGCCUCUCCAGGCCCAGCUCCUGCAUCUUGGUGGCCCCUCCAGGCCCAGCCUCUGCCUCCCGUCGGCCUCUGCAGUCCCAACGUCUGCCUCACAGCAGAUUCUUCACGCCCAGCAUCUACCUCACUGUGGACCCCCCAAGCCAAGCUCCCAACCUUUCAGCAGCUUCUACACACCCAGCUCCUGCCACCCAGUGGCCUCUUUAGGCCAAGCUCAUGCUUCACAAGGGCCUUUCCAGGCCCAACUUUUGUCUCAUGGCAACCUUCCCUGGCCAGAUUCCUGCCUGUCUCCCAGCAGCCUAGACAGGCCCAGGUCUUGCCUCACACUGGCCUCUCUACAUCCAGCUUAUGCCUCACGGUGGCCUCUCCAGGCCCAACUCCUGUCCCAGGACGUCAUCUCCGGGCCCAAAACUUACUCAAGUUAGACUCUCUAGUCCCAACUGCUGCCUCCUGGUGGCCUAUGAAGGCCCAAAAUCUCCUCAAGUUGACCUGUCCAGGCCCAGCUCCUGCCUCCUGUCAGCGUCUACAGGCCCAACCUCUGCCUCAUGGGGGCUUCUCCAGGCCCACCUCUUCCUCUUGGCUGGGUCUACAGGCACAACUGCUGCCUCACAACAGCCUUUUUUGGCCCAGUUCCUGUCCAGCUCAUGGCGGCCAAUGUAGGCCCAAAACUUCCUCAAGUCAAACUCUCCAGGCCCACCUUCUGCUUCCCGGUGGCAUCAACAGGCCCAGCUUUGACUUGAGAACAGCCUCUGCAGGCCCUGCUCUUGCCUCCCAGGGGCUUUUUCCAGGCCCAGCUCUUGCCUCAUGGCAGCUGCCCCAGGCCAAAUUUCUGCCUGCCUGCCAGCAGCCUCAACAGGCACAGCUCCUCCCUCACAGUGGCCCAUUUAGGCCCAACUCAUGACUGUGAGGCCAUUUCCAGGCCUAG
This 1441-nucleotide long non-coding RNA is filed under the name Homo sapiens (human). RNAcentral describes it as "non-protein coding lnc-OR4F29-1:15". Lineage: Eukaryota; Metazoa; Chordata; Mammalia; Primates; Hominidae. The record is from RNAcentral.